This 73-nucleotide transfer RNA is filed under the name Canis lupus familiaris (dog). It matches the Rfam family "tRNA". Rfam says of the family: Transfer RNA (tRNA) molecules are approximately 80 nucleotides in length. Their secondary structure includes four short double-helical elements and three loops (D, anti-codon, and T loops). Further hydrogen bonds mediate the characteristic L-shaped molecular structure. tRNAs have two regions of fundamental functional importance: the anti-codon, which is responsible for specific mRNA codon recognition, and the 3' end, to which the tRNAs corresponding amino acid is attached (by aminoacyl-tRNA synthetases). tRNAs cope with the degeneracy of the genetic code in two manners: having more than one tRNA (with a specific anti-codon) for a particular amino acid; and 'wobble' base-pairing, i.e. permitting non-standard base-pairing at the 3rd anti-codon position. RNAcentral also lists the same sequence under 2 other names. Lineage: Eukaryota; Metazoa; Chordata; Mammalia; Carnivora; Canidae. The record is from Rfam by way of RNAcentral.
ACCUGGCUGGCUUAGUUGGAAGAGUGUGAGACUCAUGAUCUUGGGAUUGUGGGUUUGAGUCCCCUUUUGGGUG